Molecule: ribosomal RNA, 255 nt
Filed under: Triticum aestivum (bread wheat)
Lineage: Eukaryota; Viridiplantae; Streptophyta; Magnoliopsida; Poales; Poaceae
Description: partial small subunit ribosomal RNA
Source: RNAcentral
AUGAAGUCCGCAAGGCUUGACUCCAUCAACAUCGUCCGCCUGCUGCUCGUCGUCGCCAUCCUCUGCGCCGUGAACAUUGGGGUAGUCCAGGGCGGCAGAAGGUUUUGGCGGCGGCCUCCAUCUCCACAAGGGCGCCCGGCCGCCCACGGGGUUUGCCCGAGAUGCGGUGGAUACGUGUACACCACCGCCUCCACCGCUGUCGACGAAAGGAAGAACUCUGCCUCCACUACACCAUUCUCCGACCUACGCCACUAG